AUUUUUUAUUGCCAGUUUUUUAAUUAUGCACAUUUCCAUGGCAGACGCCACCAUGCUUUAUUUAUAUUUUGGUCGCGUUGUCAAAAAAUAGGCAAAAAUGCUAUAAAAUGGAAAAGAUAGCAAUGGGGUAAGCCGAUACUCUUUAUAUUUGUCUUCAUUUGCAUGAAAGGCACAAAGGCGACCACAAAAACACAUGCAAAUAAACUCACACAUGAGCUUAAAUAUGUAUGGGAAUACGUGUAAGAGCCACAGACAAAUCCCCAGGCGCAACAGGACGACACUGAAACCAAAAUCCAAUGCGUCACACCAGAAGCAGAAACAGAAGCAGCCAACCUGAACAAAAACAAAUUAGGCUUAAUGGAAUAUGUAUUAAAUUAAAUUGUUUUAUAAAAAAAAUGAAUGAAAAAACCUUGAGUCGUGUAGAAUGGGGUUGAGCAGGAAGCCACCA
Molecule: long non-coding RNA, 448 nt
Filed under: Drosophila guanche
Lineage: Eukaryota; Metazoa; Arthropoda; Insecta; Diptera; Drosophilidae
Source: RNAcentral